Molecule: ribosomal RNA, 472 nt
Filed under: uncultured bacterium
Lineage: Bacteria
Description: bacterial SSU rRNA
Rfam family: Bacterial small subunit ribosomal RNA
Source: RNAcentral
AGAGUUUGAUCCUGGCUCAGAGCGAACGCUGGCGGCAGGCCUAACACAUGCAAGUCGAGCGCUUGUAGCAAUACAAGAGCGGCAGACGGGAGAGUAACACGUGGGAACGCGCCCUUCGGUUCGGAAUAACUCAGGGAAACUUGAGCUAAUACCGGAUACGCCCUAACGGGGAAAGAUUUAUCGCCGAAGGAACGGCCCGCGUCGGAUUAGCUAGUUGGUGAGGUAAUGGCUCACCAAGGCAACGAUCCGUAGCUGGUCUAAGAGGAUGAUCAGCCUCACUGGGACUGAGACACGGCCCAGACUCCUACGGGAGGCAGCAGUGGGGAAUAUUGGACAAUGGGCGCAAGCCUGAUCCAGCCAUGCCGCGUGGGUGAUGAAGGCCCUAGGGUUGUAAAGCCCUUUCGGCGGGGAAGAUAAUGACGGUACCCGCAGAAGAAGCCCCGGCUAACUUCGUGCCAGCAGCCGCGGUAAU